RNAcentral lists this ribosomal RNA (406 nucleotides) under uncultured bacterium. Its description in RNAcentral is "partial 16S ribosomal RNA". It matches the Rfam family "Bacterial small subunit ribosomal RNA", at positions 30 to 526 of the family's 1533-position model. The record is from RNAcentral.
AUUGAACGCUGGCGGCAGGCCUAACACAUGCAAGUCGAACGAGUGGCGGACGGGUGAGUAAUGUCUGGGGAACUGCCUGAUAGAGGGGGAUAACUACUGGAAACGGUAGCUAAUACCGCAUACUAUCGUAUGUCACCAUAUGGGAUUAGCUAGUAGGUGGGGUAAAGGCUCACCUAGGCGACGAUCCCUAGCUGUUCUGAGAGGAUGACCAGCCACACUGGGACUGAGACACGGCCCAGACUCCUACGGGAGGCAGCAGUGGGGAAUAUUGAACAAUGGGCGCAAGCCUGAUGCAGCCAUGCCGCGUGUAUGAAGAAGGCCUUCGGGUUGUAAAGUACUUUCAGCGGGGAGGCGUUACCCGCAGAAGAAGCACCGGCUAACUCCGUGCCAGCAGCCGCGGUAAUUC